AUGAACCAGAUGCGGGUGGGUGACAUCUUUGAAGUGAGGGAGAAGUUCUGUGUCUACAUUGAGGUGGAAGUGGUGCUCAACAUAAUCGCUUUUUUCAGCGGCUACGGCAGCCUCUUCGAAGUAGACCUCAAAAAUGGGUACGGCUUGGUGGAGUUCGAGGACCCCCGCGACGCCAACGAUACUGUUUGCGAGCUGAACGGCAAAGAGCUCUGUAGCGAGCGCGUGAUCGUGGUGGAGCACGCCCGGGAUCCACGUCGCGGUCGCGAUGGCUACAGCUAUGGAAGCGGCAGUGGUGGAAGUGGAUACAGCAGUCGGAGAACCUCUGGAAGAGACAAACUUGGACCACCUGUUCGUACAGAAUACAGACUUACUGUAGAAAAUCUUUCUAGUCGCUGCAGUUGGCAAGAUUUAAAGGAUUUCACGCGGCAAGAAGUCACCAAUGCAGAUGCUCACAAAGCAUGCACAAAUGAGGGUGUAAUUGAAUUUAGUUCCUACUCUGAUACGAAGCGUGCUUUGGAUAAGCUGGAUGGUACUGAAAUAAAUGGCAGAAAUAUUUGGCUUAUUGAAGGUAAACCAUGAACAAGCCACAGGUGGUCAUAUUCAGGAAGCAGAUCUAGGUCACGCUCUAGAAGGAAAUCUAGGUCCAAGAGCAAAUCUAAGCCCACGUCUGAUCGGGGCUCCCAUUCACACUCUCGAAGCAGAUCAAAAUCCAGAUCAAGGAGCCAGUCUCGUUCCCAUUCACCUGUACCUGUACCACACUCAAAGCCUCGGUCUGUAUUCCCUCCACCAAAAAAAGCUUCCAGAUCCCAUUCUAGAUCUCCUUCAAGGUCAAGGUCCAGAUCAAGUUCCAGAGAUUAAUCCAGAACUCUGUUCUUUGCACACUAUUAUGGAACACUUUCCUACUUGCUUAGGCAGUUACUCUUGCAUGUUUGUACUUGGCCUCUUCUGCAAGAGGAUCUGAGAAGAGUGGCAUACAAAAAUUUGAUUUGUGGCUAAAUUUGAUGAAAAACAUGAGGUUCUAAAAUGGUGACAUGAAGUUAAAGACCCUCUCCCUUCUUUGUGGAAUUAAGAUAACUUUGAUUUUAUAGUUUUUGAGCUAAAAUAACUUUUGUAAAGAUUAAGCUCACUUAGUUUUUUUUUUUUUUAAAUAUUUCAGCAGGAUCUGCUGCAGGGUUUGUUUUUGUUUUGUUUGCUUAUUUUUAAAUUAACUGUUUCAAGCUUUGGAUACUUAA
This is an RNA transcript of Octodon degus (degu), 1232 nucleotides long. It is a transcript of the gene named serine/arginine-rich splicing factor 6-like, with no coding region annotated. The transcript has 5 exons. NCBI's taxonomy places the organism in Eukaryota, Metazoa, Chordata, Mammalia, Rodentia, Octodontidae. The record is from RefSeq and is a predicted model, not a curated record.